AGCGAACGCUGGCGGCAGGCCUAACACAUGCAAGUCGAACGACCCUAUCGUGGUUAGUUGCGGACGGGUGAGUAACACGUGGGAACGUGCCUUUAGGCUCGGGAUUACACAGGGAAACUUGUGCUAAUACCGAGAGUGUCAUUCGGGGGCAAGAUUAAUCGUACUUAGAAAGGCCCGCGUCUGUUUAGCUAGGUGGUUGUGGGAAUGGCUAACCAAGGCGACGUUCAGUAGCUGGUCUGAGAGGAAGAUCAGCGACAUUGGGACUGAGACACGGCGCAAACUCCUACGCGAAGCAGGAGUGGGUAAUCUAGCGAAAUGGGCGAAAGCCUGACGCAGCCAUGCCUGGUGAAUGAUGAAGGUCUUAGGAUUAUAAAAUUCUUUCACCGGGGACGAUAAUGACGGUACCCGGAGAAGAAGCCCCGGCUAACUUCGUG
Molecule: ribosomal RNA, 434 nt
Filed under: uncultured bacterium
Lineage: Bacteria
Description: partial 16S ribosomal RNA
Rfam family: Bacterial small subunit ribosomal RNA
Source: RNAcentral